GUUUUGUGCGUUGUGAGAGGGUAAAAUCAGCAGUUAGAGAUGGAUCGGUUUGUCUGCUAUUUCUUUCUAUUGGUGUCUGUACCUCUCAUCAAUGCGCAAGUGACUGAAACAGUUGCAACACUCGCCACAGGUAACCUUGCACACCCUCAUUACUCCACACAUUGUACACCAGUAUACAUAAAAA
Syngnathoides biaculeatus (alligator pipefish) is the source of this 184-nucleotide long non-coding RNA. RefSeq lists it as uncharacterized. The record is from RefSeq and is a predicted model, not a curated record. NCBI's taxonomy places the organism in Eukaryota, Metazoa, Chordata, Actinopteri, Syngnathiformes, Syngnathidae. The transcript is spliced from 3 exons.